UAAAGGGCCGCGGUAUUUUGACCGUGCGAAGGUAGCAUAAUCAGCAGUUCUUUAAUUGGGGGCUUGAAUGAAUGGUUGGAUGAGGUACUAGCUAUCUUUAUUUCAUUUUAUAAUUUAACUUUUAAGUGAAAAGGCUUGAAUUUAUUAAGGGGACGAUAAGACCCUAUAAAACUUUAUACGCUAUAUUAGAAUCUAGGAAUUAGGUUUAAACUAGAUUUUUAUAUUUGAUAUUUUGUUGGGGUGACAUAAAUAUAACUUUAACUGUUUGUAAAAUAUAAUACAAAUAAGUAUAAUAUGAUCCUUUUCUAAUGAUUAAGAGAUUAAGUUACUUUAAGGAUAACAGCGUAAUUUUCUUUGAGAGUUCUUAUCGACAAGGGCAGUUGCGAGAUCGAUGUUGAAUUAAAAUUUUAGUUAGGCGUAGCGGCUUUUCUGGUAGGUCUGUCCGACCUUUAAAAUUUUACGUGAUCUGA
This 470-nucleotide ribosomal RNA is filed under the name Araiopontonia odontorhyncha. RNAcentral describes it as "partial 16S ribosomal RNA". It matches the Rfam family "Archaeal large subunit ribosomal RNA", at positions 2001 to 2677 of the family's 2987-position model. Lineage: Eukaryota; Metazoa; Arthropoda; Malacostraca; Decapoda; Palaemonidae. The record is from RNAcentral.